UGUUAAAAAUUUCAUCCAUUUUUACCGUUAAAAACUUAGGUGCGGAUAGUGUACCUCAUGUAGAUAUAUAGGAAUCAGUUUUUUACGGUAGAAAUGGAUAAAUUUUUUUAAUA
Molecule: non-coding RNA, 113 nt
Organism: Gossypium hirsutum (cotton)
Lineage: Eukaryota; Viridiplantae; Streptophyta; Magnoliopsida; Malvales; Malvaceae
Source: Rfam